This 482-nucleotide ribosomal RNA is filed under the name uncultured bacterium. RNAcentral describes it as "bacterial SSU rRNA". It matches the Rfam family "Bacterial small subunit ribosomal RNA", at positions 30 to 506 of the family's 1533-position model. The record is from RNAcentral.
UUGAACGCUGGCGGCAUGCCUUACACAUGCAAGUCGAACGGCAGCACGGGAGCAAUCCUGGUGGCGAGUGGCGAACGGGUGAGUAAUAUAUCGGAACGUGCCCAGUCGUGGGGGAUAACGCAGCGAAAGCUGUGCUAAUACCGCAUACGAUCUCUGGAUGAAAGCGGGGGACCGUAAGGCCUCGCGCGAUUGGAGCGGCCGAUAUCAGAUUAGCUAGUUGGUGGGGUAAAAGCCCACCAAGGCGACGAUCUGUAGCUGGUCUGAGAGGACGACCAGCCACACUGGAACUGAGACACGGUCCAGACUCCUACGGGAGGCAGCAGUGGGGAAUUUUGGACAAUGGGCGCAAGCCUGAUCCAGCAAUGCCGCGUGCAGGAUGAAGGCCUUCGGGUUGUAAACUGCUUUUGUACGGAACGAAACGGCUCACUCUAAUACGGUGGGCUAAUGACGGUACCGUAAGAAUAAGCACCGGCUAACUACGU